Long non-coding RNA from Stomoxys calcitrans (stable fly), 1412 nucleotides. RefSeq lists it as uncharacterized. Lineage: Eukaryota; Metazoa; Arthropoda; Insecta; Diptera; Muscidae. The record is from RefSeq and is a predicted model, not a curated record. The transcript is spliced from 3 exons.
UGUAACAGAGAUGAUUAAAUACCAAGCCGAAUAAUACCAAGCCUAGCCUAAAAGCAAUUAUAAAGGUGCUCUUUAAACACGUUGUUAGUCAAUCAUGCAAUCAUCAUUCGUUUUAAAACUAAGAGUGUGUUAUUAGACAUUUGAUUUGUGACUUCACGUUGUAUAAGACAAUAGAUCCACUUUUGAAAACCUAAAUAAAAUGCCUUAGAAACCAUUAAAGGUUUAUUAAUGACACAAAUUCUUAUUUUACAUUUCUCUCUAUCUGUGGGACAAUCUACAUGUUUACCUGGACCAUUUUGUGUCUGUUAAACAUGAACCUUUUAUGCCGUUAUUGGAGACUGCCUGUGUUCAUAAUAAAAACAAAUAUGCAUAGGCAGUAGAGUCAUGCGAUGGGGAAAACCAUUCCCAUGUCGCACAAUCAGUAUUACAAAGAGUCGUUGACUGCAUCAAGAACAAAAUUAAACAGUUAAAAAAUAUUAAACAAAAUGACAAAUGUAAAUUUGGCGAGUCACGAUAACCAUCUCUUCUUUCAGUUCAAAUUAUGCUUUCCUUUUCUCAUCUCAGAAUACAAUUGCAGGAAGAUAUUUAAUAUGCUGCAGUGGUACGAGUAUAGCUGAAAUUUAUUCUCAUCGCUACUGCUCAAAAUAGUAUGAAAUGGCCUGAAAUUUUAGAUCUUUUAAAUGAAAUACGAUCUACAAUGCAUGCAGCGAUGGAAUUUUUUAACGCAUAUUAUUUCGCUAAGGAUUUAUACUACUAAUUAUAGGCGGACGUUCACCUUUCAUGUAUAUAAAACAUUGUGGAUAAGGCGUAGCGGAACUUCUGGGAAAAUAUGGUGUAUUUUCCUAGUGUAAACACUUUUAUUUUAAUAGUACAUAUAUAAGAAAUAUAUAUAAGCAAGGGAGUUACUUAUACCCAAGCCCAGCAAAGCAAGUAUGCGACACCAAAGGCCUACAGAUCUAUUAGCCUUACAUGCUUUCUACUCAAAACCAUGGAACGUAUUGUGGAUACCAUGAUAAAUAUUGUAGUAGGACAUCCAGCGAACUCCUGAAAUACAAAGAGCAGAGCGGUGGGAGUAGUAGCAUGGAAACUCUGGACGGAUACAGAUGAAUUUCACAAUAAUGUCACGUAUUUACGAACACGUUCUCAUAUUCAAACUUUGAAGUCUCUCAAUGUCACAAAAACACAAUUAUUUUAAACUAUCCCACUUCUGAAAUUGUCAAAGGUUGGGCAAGUGGGAUAAAGGUUUAUGUUCAAAAUGUUUAUUAAUGUAAAUAAUUGUACUUUGUGUUUAUAAUAAAGAAAAAUAAUAUAGUAGAGAUCGUUUCACAGAAAAAUUAGGCUCACUUAAGAAAUGUGUGCAUUCAAUUAAAAAAUAUAUAUUAUUGAUUAACAAUUGUGCAAUUUGGAUUUGU